RNAcentral lists this ribosomal RNA (483 nucleotides) under uncultured bacterium. RNAcentral's name for it is "partial 16S ribosomal RNA". It matches the Rfam family "Bacterial small subunit ribosomal RNA", at positions 29 to 506 of the family's 1533-position model. The record is from RNAcentral.
AUUGAACGCUGGCGGCAGGCCUAACACAUGCAAGUCGAGCGGAUGAAGGGAGCUUGCUCCUGGAUUCAGCGGCGGACGGGUGAGUAAUGCCUAGGAAUCUGCCUGGUAGUGGGGGAUAACGUCCGGAAACGGGCGCUAAUACCGCAUACGUCCUGAGGGAGAAAGUGGGGGAUCUUCGGACCUCACGCUAUCAGAUGAGCCUAGGUCGGAUUAGCUAGUUGGUGGGGUAAAGGCCUACCAAGGCGACGAUCCGUAACUGGUCUGCGAGGAUGAUCAGUCACAUGGAAAGGAAGAAAGGGCCAAGACCCUCAGGGGGGGAGGAGGGGGGAAUAUUGGGAAAUGGGGGGAAACCUGGACCAACCAAGCCGGGGGGGGGAAAAAAGGUCUCGGGUUGUAAAAGCAUUUUAAGGGGGGAGGAAGGGCAGUAAGUUAAACCCUUGCGUUUUGACCGUUCCCAAAAAAAAAAGCCCCGCCAAACUUCGU